GAUGAACGCUGGCGGCGUGCCUAAUACAUGCAAGUCGAGCGAACGGACGAGAAGCUUGCUUCUCUGAUGUUAGCGGCGGACGGGUGAGUAACACGUGGAUAACCUACCUAUAAGACUGAGAUAACUUCGGGAAACCGGAGCUAAUACCGGAUAAUAUUUUGAACCGCAUGGUUCAAAAGUGAAAGACGGUCUUGCUGUCACUUAUAGAUGGAUCCGCGCUGCAUUAGCUAGUUGGUAAGGUAACGGCUUACCAAGGCAACGAUGCAUAGCCGACCUGAGAGGGUGAUCGGCCACACUGGAACUGAGACACGGUCCAGACUCCUACGGGAGGCAGCAGUAGGGAAUCUUCCGCAAUGGGCGAAAGCCUGACGGAGCAACGCCGCGUGAGUGAUGAAGGUCUUCGGAUCGUAAAACUCUGUUAUUAGGGAAGAACAUAUGUGUAAGUAACUGUGCACAUCUUGACGGUACCUAAUCAGAAAGCCACGGCUAACUACGUG
This 497-nucleotide ribosomal RNA is filed under the name uncultured bacterium. RNAcentral's name for it is "partial 16S ribosomal RNA". It matches the Rfam family "Bacterial small subunit ribosomal RNA", at positions 28 to 507 of the family's 1533-position model. The record is from RNAcentral.